Alosa alosa (allis shad) is the source of this 422-nucleotide long non-coding RNA. RefSeq lists it as uncharacterized. The transcript is spliced from 4 exons. Lineage: Eukaryota; Metazoa; Chordata; Actinopteri; Clupeiformes; Clupeidae. The record is from RefSeq and is a predicted model, not a curated record.
GAAAGUUUAUUGAUUCGGAUACCAUCAGAGAGCAAGAUAGGCCUGCCAAGAUACUUGAGGCCUACCCUUGCUUCCGGGAUCUUGACCAUAUCAUAGACGAGUUUCGUCGAAUUGUUUAAAUGGACAACAUUGACUUCUUCAAAGACUUGAGAGAUGGAUGGGAUUCAUUCUACAGUAAGGUCCAAUACUAUGGAGUGGUGAAGUGUGUAAUGAAGCCCCCCCCUGACUAUGGACGGCGUUGAACAUGCCAUCGCCGUCUUCACCGCUUUACCACAGCUCUUUCCCUCACAGUCAAAGGCACGCAGCCAAAUCGAGGCAAUUUUCCACGUUUUAACACCCUCAGAGAACCCGGACACUUUCCUGCGCACUCAAAGCAUAUCCAGUUGUCCUGUUAGGAGAAGAAAACUGCCUUCUCGCCGUUG